GAGUUUGAUUCUGGCUCAGGAUGAACGCUGGCGGCGUGCUUAACACAUGCAAGUCGAGCGGAGUUUACAAUGGAAAGAUCUUCGGAAAUGGAAGCUGUAAACUUAGCGGCGGACGGGUGCGUAACGCGUGGGUAAUCUGCCCCUAUCAUCGGGAUAACACAUCGAAAGAUGUGCUAAUACCGAAUAACAUACUUUUUGGCAUCAAGAGAGUAUCAAAGUGUUAGCGGAUAGGGAUGAGCCUGCGUCUGAUUAGUUAGUUGGUGGGGUAAUGGCCUACCAAGGCGACGAUCAGUAGCCGACCUGAGAGGGUGAUCGGCCACACUGGAACUGCGACACGGUCCAGACUCCUACGGGAGGCAGCAGUGGGGAAUAUUGCACAAUGGGCGAAAGCCUGAUGCAGCAACGCCGCGUGAGCGAUGAAGGUCUUCGGAUCGUAAAGCUCUGUCGCAUGGGAAGAUAAUGACGUACCAU
This 471-nucleotide ribosomal RNA is filed under the name Proteocatella sp. canine oral taxon 032. Its description in RNAcentral is "bacterial SSU rRNA". It matches the Rfam family "Bacterial small subunit ribosomal RNA", at positions 9 to 462 of the family's 1533-position model. Lineage: Bacteria; Bacillati; Bacillota; Clostridia; Peptostreptococcales; Filifactoraceae. The record is from RNAcentral.